GACGAACGCUGGCGGCGUGCUUAACACAUGCAAGUCGAACGGAAAGGCCCUGCUUUUGUGGGGUGCUCGAGUGGCGAACGGGUGAGUAACACGUGAGUAACCUGCCCUUGACUUUGGGAUAACUUCAGGAAACUGGGGCUAAUACCGGAUAGGAGCUCCUGCUGCAUGGUGGGGGUUGGAAAGUUUCGGCGGUUGGGGAUGGACUCGCGGCUUAUCAGCUUGUUGGUGGGGUAGUGGCUUACCAAGGCUUUGACGGGUAGCCGGCCUGAGAGGGUGACCGGCCACAUUGGGACUGAGAUACGGCACAGACUCAUACGGGAGGCAGCAGUGGGGAAUAUUGCACAAUGGGCGGAAGCCUGAUGCAGCAACGCCGCGUGCGGGAUGACGGCCUUCGGGUUGUAAACCACUUUCGCCUGUGACGAAGCGUGAGUGACGGUAAUGGGUAAAGAAGCACCGGCUAACUACGUG
This 468-nucleotide ribosomal RNA is filed under the name uncultured bacterium. RNAcentral describes it as "partial 16S ribosomal RNA". It matches the Rfam family "Bacterial small subunit ribosomal RNA", at positions 28 to 507 of the family's 1533-position model. The record is from RNAcentral.